AGGGACGAAGAUCUUCGGAUUGUAAACCUCUUUUGUAUGGGAAGAACGUCCGCAAGGACUUGACGGUACCAUACGAAUAAGCCACGGCUAACUACGUGC
RNAcentral lists this ribosomal RNA (99 nucleotides) under uncultured bacterium. RNAcentral describes it as "partial 16S ribosomal RNA". It matches the Rfam family "Bacterial small subunit ribosomal RNA", at positions 404 to 508 of the family's 1533-position model. The record is from RNAcentral.